This 254-nucleotide ribosomal RNA is filed under the name uncultured bacterium. RNAcentral's name for it is "partial 16S ribosomal RNA". It matches the Rfam family "Bacterial small subunit ribosomal RNA", at positions 524 to 776 of the family's 1533-position model. The record is from RNAcentral.
UACGGGGGGAGCAAGCGUUGUUCGGAUUUACUGGGCGUAAAGGGCGCGUAGGCGGUCGUGACAAGUCACUUGUGAAAUCUCCGGGCUUAACUCGGAACGGUCAAGUGAUACUGUCGGACUAGAGUACAGAAGGGGCAACUGGAAUUCUCGGUGUAGCGGUGAAAUGCGUAGAUAUCGAGAGGAACCCCUGCGGCGAAGGCGGGUUGCUGGGCUGAUACUGACGCUGAGGCGCGAAAGCCAGGGGAGCGAACGGG